Long non-coding RNA from Pogoniulus pusillus (Red-fronted tinkerbird), 1067 nucleotides. RefSeq lists it as uncharacterized. The transcript is spliced from 5 exons. NCBI's taxonomy places the organism in Eukaryota, Metazoa, Chordata, Aves, Piciformes, Lybiidae. The record is from RefSeq and is a predicted model, not a curated record.
GCCCACUUGGGCAGAGGAUCCUCCUCGGAUCAUCACCGGGGUUUGGUUUGUUUCUGCUGUGCAAGAGACAGAGCUUAGCCCUGUUCCUGAGCAGGUGCUUAGCCCUUCCCUUUGUCAUGGCUCCAGGAAGGCAGCAGCUCCAAGCUUGCCCAUCUGGGCAGAGGAUCCUCCUCCUGCCAGCACAGCAUUUGUGCUACCUCAUUUUGAGUCCUGUGACCCACUGCUUCUUGUGGCUGUUAAAAUGACUGGCAGAAGAACCUCCUCAGGGCAAGCAGUUGACCAGUGCUGUUCACUCUCAUCCACUGCUGUCUCUGUUUCAGAUUCCAAAUAUUGGGUAGCCUAGACAAUGCCUGGAUUAAAAGGUCCAUUCAGGAGGGGAAACUUUUAGCAUUCACCUUGUGUACACAGCCAUCUCCGCAGCGGCAUUCGGGGCUGUUAUUUCAGCUCGGCGUUCCGCUGCUGCGAACAAGACCUUUCGCCACAAAGACUUGGGAGAGACAUUCUGCAGUGCACUGCUGAAACCUGGCCCUGCUCUUUAUCCUGGCUUGUUAGUGUUAUCAGGUGGAAUCAGCUCAAACAGGAACCCCCUGGCUGACAACUUCACAAUUGCAUUACUGUUUUAAGGGGGGGAGCUGCCAAUGCCCAGCCGACUUUUAACAAGCCAACCGAGCGGAAUAACAAUGCAGCUGCAACAUUGGAUGGCAUUUCUGUUAGCCCUCUUUUAAGGCUGAAGGUGUUAAUUAGGAAUCAAAGAAUACAACCCCGCCAGCUUGCUUUCAGAAGCUAUACACCGGCCACUGCACUUUUCAGAAGGAAAAUAAAUCUAAUAAAGGGACAAAAAUGUUGUUUGUCACACCAGUAACGUGUACUUAAGGCCCUUUGAUCAGGAGCUUUUUAUGUAGCCUCCUCAGACAGGCUGAAUAUAGGUUUUUCCCCCCCCUUUCUUUGGGCUUUUCUGUAUACUGAUCCUAGGGUUGCCUGCUAACCUGAUAGCCACUGGAAUGCUUUGCAGGUUAGAAUGGCUUGAAACCACAUCAAAUAAAAAUUAUAACUGCUCACAUCUCUAA